Molecule: ribosomal RNA, 423 nt
Filed under: uncultured bacterium
Lineage: Bacteria
Description: bacterial SSU rRNA
Rfam family: Bacterial small subunit ribosomal RNA
Source: RNAcentral
AAGACCUUGCACUUUUGGAGCGGCCGAUGUCUGAUUAGCUAGUUGGUGGGGUAAUGGCCCACCAAAGCUUCGAUCAGUAGCUGGUCUGAGAGGACGGCCUGCCACACUGGGACUGAGACACGGCCCAGACUCCUACGGGAGGCAGCAGUGGGGAAUUUUGGACAAUGGGCGCAAGCCUGAUCCAGCCAUGCCGCGUGAGUGAAGAAGGCCUUCGGGUUGUAAAGCUCUUUCAGCCGGGAAGAAAAGGUUGCGACUAAUAAUCGCAAUCCAUGACGGUACCGAAAGAAGAAGCACCGGCUAACUACGUGCCAGCAGCCGCGGUAAUACGUAGGGUGCGAGCGUUAAUCGGAAUUACUGGGCGUAAAGCGUGCGCAGGUGGUUUUGUAAGUCAGAUGUGAAAGCCCCGGGCUCAACCUGGGAACU